Molecule: long non-coding RNA, 1752 nt
Organism: Austrofundulus limnaeus
Lineage: Eukaryota; Metazoa; Chordata; Actinopteri; Cyprinodontiformes; Rivulidae
Exons: 3
Source: RefSeq, a predicted model, not a curated record
UUUAACUAGUGUUUUGCUAAGUUUAGGUAGCUUUUGCGACUUUUAACUAGUGUUUUGUUACUUAGCGAGGCUUUAGCAAGCAUUUGGUUCUUUUUAGCCUUCAGCUGGUGUUCUACUUUUUUUAGCUUUAACAAGUCAGCUUCAGCUUUUUCAGCAAGUUUCAGCUCUCAGCGUUCUUACUGCAGCUUUAGCUAAUUUUACAUGGAAACUUUAAAACUAAUGUUACAAACCAAGUUUCGAAAUCUGCACUGACGUAGAUAUUUUGUGUGCGUGUUUGUUGUUGCGAUGUGACCCUGGUCCCCGUUGGACCUCGUUAAAUUGCAGAAAGCUGCACCGAAGGCCGACACAUGUUUUCUCAGAGCCUGUGUGUUGCACGGGAGAGAAAAAAAAUGUACACUCCACACCCACUUGUUGCCCUUCGUGAACCUUCAUGGUCCUCAGCCAUACCUCGACUGUGUGGAGAGGACCGCAGGAAGGAGAAACAUCUGCAGGAGGAACCUCUCCUUCUGCUAAAUAAACAAACCGAUGACACAUUCCUGUGGUGUUCUCUGUAUUUGCUUUUUUGGACCAUCUUGUCAUUUAAAAUUAUUUAUAUCUUUUAAAAUAUUUACAGAUUUUACAUAUGCAUAGUCAGUACCACAUGCCAAACGUUGUCUGAAUUCCAACCUGAAGUCUCCAACAAAGAGCUGCACAGCAGGAAAAAUUGGUUUAACAGCUGCUUUUAAAAGGAAAAAAAUGUGACUCUUAUCAGCAGUUUCGUCAACACACGCUGUGGCGAAAGACUCGAGUUUAAGGCAACAAGAGCAGCUGACAUGUUCCAGCUGUCUCCUCUCAUCUUCCUUUGUUCUACUCCUGCAGAGUCUCAGAGGCGUGUGCCAGAUGCCUGCUUUUCUUCAGAGGGGCCCUCAAAUUCAAAUCAGAGCAGCUGGGAAGUGCUUCAGCAAGAGGAAGAGGAGUGGCCGAACAUCGGGGGAGAUUUUAAAGACAUAAUGGGGGUGAGGGGGGUGAGGGUGGGGGUCGUAAUGUGGCACACGCCUUUAACAGAGAAACCCCAAACCUUUCCAUCUUUGAUCCAAACAGGCGUUGUGAGGUCUGCAGGAUGGGGGUUUUCCUGCACAUAUGGCUAGUUUUUUUUUUUUUUUUUUUUUCCUGUGGGUGUGAAGGCUCAGGAGCAGGGUGGGGAGGAGGCGGCUGAAGUGACAGCAGGUCGUCUGAUGCAGCAGGGCUUGUUGAAGGGGAGCGAGGCUGACACUUUUCUUUGUUAGAUAACAGCCCCGGCCUGCAUUCAUUCAAUGCCAAGAUGUGAUUUUCUACAGUGUGAUGCUGACCCUGGCAUUUCAAAUAGGCUCACAAUGAAAACAUAUUUAUAAUAUUUGCAGGCGACAACGCAAAUCAUUUAAAUUUGCAAAGCUCAGCAGCUUUUGAAAACUCAUGGAGCUCAGAGCUUUUAUGCUUUCCACCCAACUAUCAACGUAUUUGUGAUUUCAGAAAGUCUUCAGUCCUGGUGUUUUUCUCAGUUUGUAGCAUCACAGUGUUCAUACUCACUUGCAAAAGGGCAGAAAGUAGAGUAAUUGUGACAAAACUCCAUCUCCUGAUGGUUUAGAGGUUAAAGGUUAAAGUUGUAUAUUAGAUUUAAAAUCAACUCUUCUCUUCAGCUGAAUGUUGUUUGAGCGUUAUGCUAACAGCUAUUAGCAUGUUGGAAAGCAAAUGUUCAAAUUCGCUUCAAUUUUUUGUUUGUUUGUUUAUGUGGCC